GCCGGGCGCGGUGGCGCGUGCCUGUAAUCCAAGCUACUGGGAGGCUGAGGCUGGCGGAUCGUUUGAGCUCAGGGGUUCUGGGCUGCAGUGGGCUAUGCCGAUCGGGUGUCCGCACUAAGUUCGGUAUCGAUAUGGUGCUCCUGAGGGAGCUCGGGACCACCAGGUCGCCUAAGGAGGGGUGAACCGGCCCAGGUCGGGAACGGAGCAGGUCAAAGCCCCCGUGCCGAUCAGUAGUGGGAUCGCGCCUGUGAAUAGACACUGCCGUGCAGCCUGAGUAAUACAGCGGGACUCAGUCUUUU
Ictalurus punctatus (channel catfish) is the source of this 299-nucleotide unclassified non-coding RNA. It matches the Rfam family "Metazoan signal recognition particle RNA". From Rfam's summary of the family: The signal recognition particle (SRP) is a universally conserved ribonucleoprotein. It is involved in the co-translational targeting of proteins to membranes. Lineage: Eukaryota; Metazoa; Chordata; Actinopteri; Siluriformes; Ictaluridae. The record is from Ensembl.